This 495-nucleotide ribosomal RNA is filed under the name uncultured bacterium. RNAcentral's name for it is "partial 16S ribosomal RNA". It matches the Rfam family "Bacterial small subunit ribosomal RNA", at positions 28 to 507 of the family's 1533-position model. The record is from RNAcentral.
GACGAACGCUGGCGGCGUGCCUAAUACAUGCAAGUAGAACGCUGAAGGCGGAGCUUGCUUCUCCGGAUGAGUUGCGAACGGGUGAGUAACGCGUAGGUAACCUGCCUGUUAGCGGGGGAUAACUAUUGGAAACGAUAGCUAAUACCGCAUAACAGUAGAUGUUGCAUGACAUUUGCUUAAAAGGUUCAAUGGCUUCACUACCAGAUGGACCUGCGUUGUAUUAGCUAGUUGGUGAGGUAACGGCUCACCAAGGCGACGAUACAUAGCCGACCUGAGAGGGUGAUCGGCCACACUGGGACUGAGACACGGCCCAGAGUCCUACGGGAGGCAGCAGUAGGGAAUCUUCGGGAAUGGGCGGAAGUCUGACCGAGCAACGCCGCGUGAGUGAAGAAGGUUGUCGGAUCGUAAAGCUCUGUUGUAAGAGAAGAACGAGUGUGAGAGUGGAAAGUUCACACUGUGACGGUAUCUUACCAGAAAGGGACGGCUAACUACGUG